This 272-nucleotide ribosomal RNA is filed under the name uncultured bacterium. RNAcentral describes it as "partial 16S ribosomal RNA". It matches the Rfam family "Bacterial small subunit ribosomal RNA", at positions 793 to 1055 of the family's 1533-position model. The record is from RNAcentral.
GUCCACGCCUAAACGAAUGUCAACUGGUUGUCGGGGAAGGCAAUUCCUUGGUAACGAAGCUAACGCGUGAAGUUGACCGCCUGGGGAGGUACGGCCGCAAGGUUAAAACUACAAAGGAAAUUGACGGGGACCCGGCACAAGCGGUGGAUUAUGUGGAUCAAUUCGAUGCAAACGCGAAAAAACCUUAACCUACCCUUGACAUGUACGGAACCCCGCAGAGAUGCGGGGGUGCCCGAAAGGGAGCCGUAACACAGGUGCUGCAUGGCUGUCGU